GACGAACGCUGGCGGCGUGCUUAACACAUGCAAGUCGAACGGAAAGGCCCUGCUUUUGUGGGGUGUUCGAGUGGCGAACGGGUGAGUAACACGUGAGUAACCUGCCCUUGACUUUGGGAUAACUUCAGGAAACUGGGGCUAAUACAGGAUAGGAGCUCCUGCUGCAUGGUGGGGGUUGGAAAGUUUCGGCGGUUGGGGAUGGACUCGCGGCUUAUCAGCUUGUUGGUGGGGUAGUGGCUUACCAAGGCUUUGACGGGUAGCCGGCCUGAGAGGGUGACCGGCCACAAUGGGACUGAGAUACGGCCCAGAGUCCUACGGGAGACAGCAGGGGGGAAUAUUGCACAAUGGGCGGAAGCCUGAUGCAGCAACGCCGCGUGCGGGAUGACGGCCUUCGGGUUGUAAACCGCUUUCGCCUGUGACGAAGCGUUAGUGACGGUAAUGGGUAAAGAAGCACCGGCUAACUACGUG
Molecule: ribosomal RNA, 468 nt
Filed under: uncultured bacterium
Lineage: Bacteria
Description: partial 16S ribosomal RNA
Rfam family: Bacterial small subunit ribosomal RNA
Source: RNAcentral